This 460-nucleotide ribosomal RNA is filed under the name uncultured bacterium. Its description in RNAcentral is "partial 16S ribosomal RNA". It matches the Rfam family "Bacterial small subunit ribosomal RNA", at positions 338 to 795 of the family's 1533-position model. The record is from RNAcentral.
CCUACGGGAGGCAGCAGUGAGGAAUAUUGGUCAAUGGACGGAAGUCUGAACCAGCCAUGCCGCGUGCAGGAAGACGGCUCUAUGAGUUGUAAACUGCUUUUGUACAAGGGUAAACCUGAAUACGUGUAUUCAGCUGAAAGUACUGUACGAAUAAGGAUCGGCUAACUCCGUGCCAGCAGCCGCGGUAAUACGGAGGAUCCAAGCGUUAUCCGGAUUUAUUGGGUUUAAAGGGUGCGUAGGCGGAUUGAUAAGUUAGAGGUGAAAUGUCCGAGCUUAACUUGGGAACUGCCUCUAAUACUGUUGGUCUAGAGAGUAGAUGCGGUAGGCGGAAUGUAUGGUGUAGCGGUGAAAUGCUUAGAGAUCAUACAGAACACCGAUUGCGAAGGCAGCUUACCAAGCUAUAUCUGACGUUGAGGCACGAAAGCGUGGGGAGCAAACAGGAUUAGAUACCCGGGUAGUC